GUCAGCAGCCGCGGUAAAACCAGCACCUCAAGUGGUCAGGAGGAUUAUUGGGCCUAAAGCAUCCGUAGCCUGUUCUAUAAGUUUGCGGUUAAAUCUAUACGCUCAACGUAUAGGCUGCUGUAAAUACUGUAGAACUAGGGAGUGGGAGAGGUAGACGGUACUCGGUAGGAAGGGGUAAAAUCCUUUGAUCUAUCGAUGACCACCUGUGGCGAAGGCGGUCUACCAGAACACGUUCGACGGUGAGGGAUGAAAGCUGGGGGAGCAAACCGGAUUAGAUACCCGGGUAGUCCCAGCUGUAAACGAUGCAGACUCGAUGAUGCAAUGGCAUAGAGCUAUUGCAGUAUCGCAGGGAAGCCGUUAAGUCUGCCGCCUGGGAAGUACGUACGCAAGUAUGAAACUUAAAGGAAUUGGCGGGGGAGCACGGUCAUAGCUUGUUUCCGGA
RNAcentral lists this ribosomal RNA (442 nucleotides) under crenarchaeote SCGC AAA288-N06. RNAcentral's name for it is "SSU rRNA". It matches the Rfam family "Archaeal small subunit ribosomal RNA", at positions 457 to 901 of the family's 1478-position model. The record is from RNAcentral. Lineage: Archaea; Thermoproteati; Thermoproteota.